This 253-nucleotide ribosomal RNA is filed under the name uncultured bacterium. RNAcentral describes it as "partial 16S ribosomal RNA". It matches the Rfam family "Bacterial small subunit ribosomal RNA", at positions 524 to 776 of the family's 1533-position model. The record is from RNAcentral.
UACGGAGGAUGCAAGCGUUAUCCGGAAUGAUUGGGCGUAAAGCGUCCGCAGGUGGCUAUGUAAGUCUGCUGUCAAAGAGCGAAGCUCAACUUCGUAAAGGCAGUGGAAACUACAUGGCUAGAGUGCGUUCGGGGCAGAGGGAAUUCCGGGUGUAGUGGUGGAAUGCGUAGAGAUCCGGAGGAACACCAGCGGCGAAGGCGGCGUCCUGGACUGGUACUGACGCUCAGGAGCGAAAGCGUGGGGAGCGAUCCGG